RNAcentral lists this ribosomal RNA (429 nucleotides) under Chloroflexota bacterium. Its description in RNAcentral is "Chloroflexi bacterium partial 16S ribosomal RNA". It matches the Rfam family "Bacterial small subunit ribosomal RNA", at positions 355 to 776 of the family's 1533-position model. Lineage: Bacteria; Bacillati; Chloroflexota. The record is from RNAcentral.
UGGGGAAUAUUGCACAAUGGGCGCAAGCCUGAUGCAGCCAUGCCGCGUGUGUGAAGAAGGCCUUCGGGUUGUAAAGCACUUUCAGCGGGGAGGAAGGCGGUGAGGUUAAUAACCUCAUCGAUUGACGGUAUCCGCAGAAGAAGCACCGGCUAACUCCGUGCCAGCAGCCGCGGUAAUACGGAGGGUGCAAGCGUUAAUCGGAAUUACUGGGCGUAAAGCGCACGCAGGCGGUCUGUCAAGUCGGAUGUGAAAUCCCCGGGCUCAACCUGGGAACUGCAUUCGAAACUGGCAGGCUAGAGUCUUGUAGAGGGGGGUAGAAUUCCAGGUGUAGCGGUGAAAUGCGUAGAGAUCUGGAGGAAUACCGGUGGCGAAGGCGGCCCCCUGGACAAAGACUGACGCUCAGGUGCGAAAGCGUGGGGAGCAAACAGG